UGAGGAACAUGACCUUCGGCGGGGGAUAGCCGGCCCAACGGCCGGGUAAUACCGCGUACGACCACUCGGGGACAUCCCCAGGUGGUGAAAGCAGCAAUGCGCCGAUGGAGUGCCUCGCGGCCUAUCAGCUAGUUGGUGAGGUAACGGCUCACCAAGGCAACGACGGGUAGCUGGUCUGAGAGGAUGGCCAGCCACAUUGGAACUGAGACACGGCCCAGACCUCCGUACGGGAGCAG
RNAcentral lists this ribosomal RNA (236 nucleotides) under uncultured bacterium. RNAcentral describes it as "partial 16S ribosomal RNA". It matches the Rfam family "Bacterial small subunit ribosomal RNA", at positions 118 to 347 of the family's 1533-position model. The record is from RNAcentral.